Molecule: ribosomal RNA, 576 nt
Filed under: Enterococcus faecium
Lineage: Bacteria; Bacillati; Bacillota; Bacilli; Lactobacillales; Enterococcaceae
Description: bacterial SSU rRNA
Rfam family: Bacterial small subunit ribosomal RNA
Source: RNAcentral
GUAACCUGCCCAUCAGAAGGGGAUAACACUUGGAAACAGGUGCUAAUACCGUAUAACAAUCGAAACCGCAUGGUUUUGAUUUGAAAGGCGCUUUCGGGUGUCGCUGAUGGAUGGACCCGCGGUGCAUUAGCUAGUUGGUGAGGUAACGGCUCACCAAGGCCACGAUGCAUAGCCGACCUGAGAGGGUGAUCGGCCACAUUGGGACUGAGACACGGCCCAAACUCCUACGGGAGGCAGCAGUAGGGAAUCUUCGGCAAUGGACGAAAGUCUGACCGAGCAACGCCGCGUGAGUGAAGAAGGUUUUCGGAUCGUAAAACUCUGUUGUUAGAGAAGAACAAGGAUGAGAGUAACUGUUCAUCCCUUGACGGUAUCUAACCAGAAAGCCACGGCUAACUACGUGCCAGCAGCCGCGGUAAUACGUAGGUGGCAAGCGUUGUCCGGAUUUAUUGGGCGUAAAGCGAGCGCAGGCGGUUUCUUAAGUCUGAUGUGAAAGCCCCCGGCUCAACCGGGGAGGGUCAUUGGAAACUGGGAGACUUGAGUGCAGAAGAGGAGAGUGGAAUUCCAUGUGUAGCGGUG